Molecule: transfer RNA, 95 nt
Filed under: Escherichia coli
Lineage: Bacteria; Pseudomonadati; Pseudomonadota; Gammaproteobacteria; Enterobacterales; Enterobacteriaceae
Description: tRNA-Ser
Source: RNAcentral
CCGCCAUUAGCUCAUCAGGAAGAGCAGACGACAACUGCUCUUCCUGAACCAGGAUUGUUGUAUGGUACGGGGUUCGAGGCCUCGAUGGCGGUCCA